GCUCAGGGUGAACGCUGGCGGCGUGCCUAAGACAUGCAAGUCGAGCGGGGCAGGUUUAUGCCUGUCCAGCGGCGGACGGGUGAGUAACGCGUGGGUGACCUACCCGGAAGAGGCGGACAACCUGGGGAAACCCAGGCUAAUCCGCCAUGUGGUCCUGUCCUGUGGGGUAGGACUAAAGGGUGGAUAGCCCGCUUCCGGAUGGGCCCGCGUCCCAUCAGCUAGUUGGUGGGGUAAAGGCCCACCAAGGCGACGACGGGUGGCCGGUCUGAGAGGAUGGCCGGCCACAGGGGCACUGAGACACGGGCCCCACUCCUACGGGAGGCAGCAGUUAGGAAUCUUCCGCAAUGGACGGAAGUCUGACGGAGCGACGCCGCUUGGAGGAGGAAGCCCUUCGGGGUGUAAACUCCUGAACUGGGGACGAAAGCCCCGUGUAGGGGGAUGACGGUACCCAGGUAAUAGCGCCGGCCAACUCCGUGCCAGCAGCCGCGGUAAUACGGAGGGCGCGAGCGUUACCCGGAUUUACUGGGCGUAAAGGGCGUGUAGGCGGCCUGGGGCGUCCCAUGUGAAAGGCCACGGCUCAACUGUGGAGGAGCGUGGGAUACGCUCAGGCUAGAGGGUGGGAGAGGGUGGUGGAAUUCCCGGAGUAGCGGUGAAAUGCGCAGAUACCGGGAGGAACGCCGAUGGCGAAGGCAGCCACCUGGUCCACUUCUGACGCUGAGGCGCGAAAGCGUGGGGAGCAAACCGGAUUAGAUACCCGGGUAGUC
Molecule: ribosomal RNA, 764 nt
Filed under: uncultured Thermus sp.
Lineage: Bacteria; Thermotogati; Deinococcota; Deinococci; Thermales; Thermaceae
Description: bacterial SSU rRNA
Rfam family: Bacterial small subunit ribosomal RNA
Source: RNAcentral